CUUGUGACUUAGCCGGUUUAGCUAGUUCAAGUGUAUCCCACGCUUGAACUAAAAAGGCAGGAAUCCAAUAUUAUUCCCCUAUUGACAGUAUUGACAUUAAAAUUUGAGUGUCAUGUAUGUAUUGACAUUAUGACGAAAUAAAAAUACUCUAUUAGAACUUUUGUAAACAAAUUCUUAGGGUAGACAAAUUCUUAAUAAUCAACUCGCAGGUAAUGAUUUGUCUUCAUUCAAGAAUAAACAACACAUAGGAUUAAAAAAAUUAAUGACAAACAACUUUAAAUUUUAAAUAAAUGAUUUUAAAUCAUUAUUUACUUGAUUCUGAACUAUGAGAAGACAUCCUUGCUUUGGGGGAUGGAUGCAGCUUCAUACAACAUGCCACAGCAGCCCCGUGAGCGGCGUGCCCCUCCAGAGCCCCGAGUGCGGCAGCCGCCGCCGGAGCCGAGGCGUGCAGUCGCACAGCAGCCGCCGCAGCCACGGGAACGCCACGCACCCCCCGCGCCCAGGGAGCGCCAGCCACCCCCACAGCCUCGGGAGCGAGUGCCACCACCACCUCCAAGGGUGCGACAACCACCACCCGAACCUAGACAUUAACAGACCUAUCAUAUCUUUUAUAUUACUUAUAGCUCAUAUUAUAUAGUCUGAUGUCAUCUUGUCAGCUAAUUAGUUCCUAUUUAGGAGAUUGUUUAUUAGUGGGAAUGAUUUGUUCAUGUUUAGUGUUAUAACAUAUCUACUAAUUAUGAUAAAUAAUUGCCUGUACAAUGUUUCAUAACCAUACUUAAAUUAUUCGUGUCCUUCAUGGUAUUAUGUAAUAGUAACAUUUAAUUAGGCAGGGUUUUAUGUGACCAUAGAGGACAUUUAUGUUAUGGGGAAGAGUAAUUUUAUACAAUCCAUAUUAAAAAAAAACAGACAAGUAUUUUUAAGUAUAAAGAACAAAUAGCUAUGAUUGUUGAAGUGUGUAACAAAAAUUAUGCUCUGCAUUUGUAUACUUUAUGUCUUAAUAAGUAUUUUUUUCCUAUUCUUAACGUCAAUGUUUGACAACCAUGUUGAUAUUACUAACAAAGUUUAUAAGUGUUAUUGUCAUUGGCAACACUAAAAGUGUAGUGCGACCAAAUUAGAGUAUAUAAGUUUUGUAUUUUUGAUAUUAAAUAAACUUAAGAACAUAUACACUUCA
Molecule: long non-coding RNA, 1171 nt
Organism: Trichoplusia ni (cabbage looper)
Lineage: Eukaryota; Metazoa; Arthropoda; Insecta; Lepidoptera; Noctuidae
Exons: 2
Source: RefSeq, a predicted model, not a curated record